UAAGUGAUUCCAAGUGAAAAGAGGGUGAAACAGUUAAAGAGAAGUAGAAACAAGAAGUUGGAAUUUCUGAACAGCUUUGUUACUCCACAGUUUUGAGGCGACUUUUCGACGUUGAGCGAAAAAAGGAAUUGAUACACACUCCAUAGGAGCUUACACACAUAAAGGCGAAAGGUGAACAUGGAACUACAUAGAUAGCAUGGCUAGUUGUGGAGCUCCUAUAGGAUUCCAGAGUUCGAUGUACAUGGAUGACGACCUGUAGGGUUAUUUUGUAGGCUGCCAUCUGUAGGGUUA
Long non-coding RNA from Olea europaea var. sylvestris, 291 nucleotides. RefSeq lists it as uncharacterized. The record is from RefSeq and is a predicted model, not a curated record. The transcript has 3 exons. NCBI's taxonomy places the organism in Eukaryota, Viridiplantae, Streptophyta, Magnoliopsida, Lamiales, Oleaceae.